CUACUUAAAAAUUCCGUAGUGGUAGCGGUGACUCCAAUCCUGAUAGACACGCGUAAUACUAAACGUAGGAUCGUGAAAUCCAAUGGCUCAGAUCGCUUCCGCAAUGCUCUGAUCCUGCCGAGUGCAGACGCGCACGCGUUCCCCUCUCUCCCGAGCGGUGCCUUUGAUCCUUCUUCCUCCUCGAUACCCUCCGUAUCAACAGCGGUCACCGAUCCAUCGUCCAGACGCCGCCGCCUUCAUCCUCCUUCCUCCCCAUCCCCCAUCCCCCAGCGCCCGCAUUCCACCUCCCCCUGCGGACGGCUUCUCCACCGCGCCGGCGCCGGAUCGGCGAGGCGGGAGCACGUGGCCGCGGGAAGAGCAGCAACCGGUCACCCCGCCGCCGCAGAACGAGGUCGCCUGGACGGCCGCCGCCGAGGCCUCCCGCUCCUCCAUCAUGUUCGGGUCAGCGGGCAGGCCGUGCUACAUGUUCUAUGCUUCACCGGCAAUGGCGGCCAAGCAGUUUUAGGUGCCAGUUUUGGUGUGAAGAACUAAAUUGAAACCGAACAAUGAUUUUCUAGAGUUGCGGUUAACUUCUAAUCAAGUUAGUUCUGCAAUGGAUAACAAUGGUGGCGGUUCAGCACCAACAUCGUCCAAAAGAUCAUGUCCUUUUGUGAAUAUAACUAAUGUGAUUAAUGCCAAGUUGACAAACAAGCGUG
Molecule: long non-coding RNA, 695 nt
Filed under: Oryza sativa tropical japonica subgroup
Lineage: Eukaryota; Viridiplantae; Streptophyta; Magnoliopsida; Poales; Poaceae
Description: lncRNA OsKeNa_08g0014830
Source: RNAcentral